CUGGGCUGGGUGGCUAAGGGACGAAGCGAGUGAGGGGGUUUGGGGAGCCGUGGGAGUCGCCGUGAUGAGGAUGUGGGCUUGUUGGGGGAGGUCUGGGAGCCAGCCUCUAGGUCCUCUCUUGCUUCGUCGGUUGAGGGUGACCAGGAUGUGGUACUGCUGAUUCAGCCUACCAAGAAUGGUCUGGGGAGCACAGAAAUAAAGUGAACAGAGUGACACGUUACUUCUCCUGGCUGACCUAAGCUGAAUAUACAGUCUGUAACCGUGGCAGUUUUGCACAGAGAAGUCAUGGGGAUGGCUGGGUCAGAGGACACAAAGUUCCUGUAAAGUCUAAAAGGAAAGUGAAAGGUCUGGGGUGGAAGCUCCGGGGUCAGCAUAAGCUUCUUCAUAGCUGAAAGGAGGAGAGAACCCAGCUUUUGCCAAGGGCAUCUGCUAAGAUUCUUGAGCACGGAAGAUACGGGCAGUGGGAAGCGAGCAGUUGAAAGGUACAGCUUGG
This 493-nucleotide long non-coding RNA is filed under the name Gallus gallus (chicken). RNAcentral describes it as "long non-coding RNA NONGGAT004330". The record is from RNAcentral. Lineage: Eukaryota; Metazoa; Chordata; Aves; Galliformes; Phasianidae.